GGCGGCCCUUGUCAAAGCUGCAGCUGCUUCUGCAUAACUGAUGUGGUCAAAAGAAGCCCCAGCUAACCGUUUUCCUUACCUGUCAUUAUCUGUUUCCAUUUGCUGUAACACAUCUGUACGAUCUUGGAAAAAAGCAGCU
This is a small nucleolar RNA of Microtus ochrogaster (prairie vole), 139 nucleotides long. NCBI's taxonomy places the organism in Eukaryota, Metazoa, Chordata, Mammalia, Rodentia, Cricetidae. The record is from Ensembl.